GAAGGUAUAGCUCACCUGGUAAAGCGUAUGCUCAGCAUGCAUGAGGUCCUGGGUUCAAUCCCAGGUACCUCCU
RNAcentral lists this transfer RNA (73 nucleotides) under Camelus bactrianus (Bactrian camel). It matches the Rfam family "tRNA". From Rfam's summary of the family: Transfer RNA (tRNA) molecules are approximately 80 nucleotides in length. Their secondary structure includes four short double-helical elements and three loops (D, anti-codon, and T loops). The record is from Rfam by way of RNAcentral. RNAcentral also lists the same sequence under 2 other names. Lineage: Eukaryota; Metazoa; Chordata; Mammalia; Artiodactyla; Camelidae.